GAUGAAGAACGAGCGAAAUGCGAUACGUAAUGUGAAUUGCAGAAUUCAGUGAAUCAUCGAGUCUCUGAACGCACAUUGCGCCCCCUGGUAUUCCGGGGGGCAUGCCUGUCCGAGCGUCAUUGCUGCCCUCAAGCACGGCUUGUGUGUUGGGCCUCCGUCCUCCUCCCGGGGGACGGGCCCGAAAGGCAGCGGCGGCACCGCGUCCGGUCCUCGAGCGUAUGGGGCUUCGUCACCCGCUCUUGUAGGCCCGGCCGGCGCUUGCCGACACAUCAAUCUUUUUUCCAGGUUGACCUCGGAUCAGGUAGGGAUACCCGCUGAACUUAAGCAUAUCAAUAAGCGGAGGA
This 344-nucleotide unclassified non-coding RNA is filed under the name soil metagenome. RNAcentral describes it as "partial contains 5.8S ribosomal RNA, internal transcribed spacer 2, and large subunit ribosomal RNA". The stretch from base 1 to 119 matches the Rfam family "5.8S ribosomal RNA", at positions 35 to 154 of the family's 154-position model. The record is from RNAcentral.